GGAUAUGUUUACAUGGAAGCGUUCUUAGCGGCGGACGGGUGAGUAACACGUGGGUAACCUGCCUCAAAGUGGGGGAUAGCCUUCCGAAAGGAAGAUUAAUACCGCAUAAGCCUACAGUGCCGCAUGGCACAGCAGGAAAAGGAGCAAUCCGCUUUGAGAUGGACCCGCGGCGCAUUAGCUAGUUGGUGAGGUAAUGGCUCACCAAGGCGACGAUGCGUAGCCGACCUGAGAGGGUGAUCGGCCACAUUGGAACUGAGACACGGUCCAGACUCCUACGGGAGGCAGCAGUGGGGAAUAUUGCACAAUGGGCGAAAGCCUGAUGCAGCAACGCCGCGUGAGUGAUGAAGGCCUUCGGGUCGUAAAGCUCUUUGAUCAGGGAUGAUAAUGACAGUACCUGAAAAACAAGCCACGGCUAACUACGUGCCAGCAGCCGCGGUAAUACGUAGGUGGCGAGCGUUGUCCGGAAUUACUGGGCGUAAAGGAUGCGUAGGUGGAUACUUAAGUGGGAUGUGAAAUCCCCGGGCUCAACCCGGGAACUGCAUUCCAAACUGGGUAUCUAGAGUGCAGGAGAGGAAAGCGGAAUUCCUAGUGUAGCGGUGAAAUGCGUAGAUAUUAGGAGGAACACCAGUGGCGAAGGCGGCUUUCUGGACUGUAACUGACACUGAGGCAUGAAAGCGUGGGUAGCAAACAGGAUUAGAUACCCUGGUAGUCCACGCCGUAAACGAUGGGUACUAGGUGUAGGAGGUAUCGACCCCUUCUGUGCCGUCGUUAACACAAUAAGUACCCCGCCUGGGGAGUACGGUCGCAAGACUAAAACUCAAAGGAAUUGACGGGGGCCCGCACAAGCAGCGGAGCAUGUGGUUUAAUUCGAAGCAACGCGAAGAACCUUACCUAGACUUGACAUCUCCUGAAUUACCCUUAACCGGGGAAGCCCUUCGGGGCAGGAAGACAGGUGGUGCAUGG
Molecule: ribosomal RNA, 963 nt
Filed under: uncultured bacterium
Lineage: Bacteria
Description: bacterial SSU rRNA
Rfam family: Bacterial small subunit ribosomal RNA
Source: RNAcentral